RNAcentral lists this non-coding RNA (24 nucleotides) under Arabidopsis thaliana (thale cress). The record is from RNAcentral. Lineage: Eukaryota; Viridiplantae; Streptophyta; Magnoliopsida; Brassicales; Brassicaceae.
AGGAACUAGUGGAUCAAGCAUUCC